RNAcentral lists this ribosomal RNA (208 nucleotides) under uncultured bacterium. Its description in RNAcentral is "partial 16S ribosomal RNA". It matches the Rfam family "Bacterial small subunit ribosomal RNA", at positions 568 to 774 of the family's 1533-position model. The record is from RNAcentral.
UCCGCAGGUGGCCUCGUAAGUUGAAUGUGAAAUCUCAGGGCUUAACCCUGAAACUGCAUCCAAUACUGCGAGGUUUGAGUCCAAGAGAGGUUGGCGGAAUUCCCGGUGUAGCGGUGAAAUGCGUAGAUAUCGGGAGGGAACACCAGUGGCGAAGGCGGCCAACUGGCUUGGAACUGACACUCAGGGACGAAAGCGUGGGUAGCGAACC